AUGAUUGUGCGGGGAGAGAACAUGUUUUUAGUGUCGCCGAAGGAGCAAGUAGGUAUCUAUGAAUCUCUCAGGCAAAAAGACUCGUACGGGACG
This 93-nucleotide non-coding RNA is filed under the name Rummeliibacillus stabekisii. RNAcentral's name for it is "Glycine sequence". It matches the Rfam family "Glycine riboswitch aptamer". Rfam says of the family: This family represents the bacterial glycine riboswitch. The record is from Rfam by way of RNAcentral. Lineage: Bacteria; Bacillati; Bacillota; Bacilli; Caryophanales; Caryophanaceae.